RNAcentral lists this ribosomal RNA (340 nucleotides) under uncultured Desulfobulbus sp. RNAcentral's name for it is "bacterial SSU rRNA". It matches the Rfam family "Bacterial small subunit ribosomal RNA", at positions 1042 to 1382 of the family's 1533-position model. Lineage: Bacteria; Pseudomonadati; Thermodesulfobacteriota; Desulfobulbia; Desulfobulbales; Desulfobulbaceae. The record is from RNAcentral.
UGCAUGGCUGUCGUCAGCUCGUGUCGUGAGAUGUUGGGUUAAGUCCCGCAACGAGCACAACCCUUGCCUUUAGUUGCCAGCAGUUCGGCUGGGCACUCUAAAGGGACUGCCGGUGUUAAACCGGAGGAAGGUGGGGAUGACGUCAAGUCCUCAUGGCCUUUAUGACCAGGGCUACACACGUACUACAAUGGCCGAUACAAAGGGCAGCGACACUGCGAGGUGAAGCCAAUCCCGUAAAAUCGGUCUCAGUCCGGAUUGGAGUCUGCAACUCGACUCCAUGAAGUUGGAAUCGCUAGUAAUCGUGGAUCAGCAUGCCACGGUGAAUACGUUCCCGGGCCUU